This 62-nucleotide transfer RNA is filed under the name uncultured Mycoplasma sp. It matches the Rfam family "tRNA", at positions 7 to 64 of the family's 71-position model. From Rfam's summary of the family: Transfer RNA (tRNA) molecules are approximately 80 nucleotides in length. Their secondary structure includes four short double-helical elements and three loops (D, anti-codon, and T loops). Lineage: Bacteria; Bacillati; Mycoplasmatota; Mollicutes; Mycoplasmatales; Mycoplasmataceae. The record is from RNAcentral.
AUUAGCUCAAUUGGAUAGAGCAUUUGGCUUCGGACCAAAAGGUUGAGGGUUCAAAUCCUUUA